GACUGUCUCUAUUUAAUUUAAUUAGAAUUUUAUUUUUAAGUUAAAAAGCUUAAAUAAGUUUAAAAGACGAGAAGACCCUAUAGAGUUUUAUUAAUAAAUAAAAAAUAUAUUUUAGUAUUAAUUUAUUUUGUUUAUUUAUUAAUUUAAUUGGGGUGAUUGAAAAAUUUAAUUAACUUUUUUUAUUUAAUAACAUUAAUUUAUGAAUUAAUGAUCCAAUAUUUUUGAUUAUAAGAUAAAAUUACCUUAGGGAUAACAGCGUAAUUUUUUUAGAAAGUUCA
This 278-nucleotide ribosomal RNA is filed under the name Chrysolina rufoaenea. RNAcentral describes it as "partial 16S ribosomal RNA". Lineage: Eukaryota; Metazoa; Arthropoda; Insecta; Coleoptera; Chrysomelidae. The record is from RNAcentral.